RNAcentral lists this ribosomal RNA (253 nucleotides) under uncultured bacterium. RNAcentral describes it as "partial 16S ribosomal RNA". It matches the Rfam family "Bacterial small subunit ribosomal RNA", at positions 524 to 776 of the family's 1533-position model. The record is from RNAcentral.
UACGGGGGGGGCAAGCGUUGUUCGGAAUUACUGGGCGUAAAGGGCUCGUAGGUGGCCAACUAAGUCAGACGUGAAAUCCCUCGGCUUAACCGGGGAACUGCGUCUGAUACUGGAUGGCUUGAGUUUGGGAGAGGGACGCGGAAUUCCAGGUGUAGCGGUGAAAUGCGUAGAUAUCUGGAGGAACAUCAGUGGCGAAGGCGGCUUCCUGGAUCAAGACUGACACUGAGGCUCGAAAGCGUGGGGAGCAAACAGG